Molecule: ribosomal RNA, 1959 nt
Filed under: Triticum aestivum (bread wheat)
Lineage: Eukaryota; Viridiplantae; Streptophyta; Magnoliopsida; Poales; Poaceae
Description: partial small subunit ribosomal RNA
Source: RNAcentral
AUGCCAUGUAUGUCCACUUCUGCAGCUUGCUGGACAGCAGGACAGCCUGCGCCAUACUUGCAUUUGGCUCGCACUUUUGAUCUUGUAGAAAGAGAAAAAGGGAAGAUCAAAACUACUGCCAUGCUUUGCAACAUGUUCAGGAGUUUGCUUGCCUUAUCACCUAAUGAUGUGCUACCUGCUGUUUAUCUAUGUACUAACAAAAUUUCUCCGGACCAUGAAAAUAUGGAACUAAACAUUGGCGGCAGUCUAGUUAUAUCUGCUAUGGAGGAGUCGCUAGGAACGAGCAAAUCUAAAAUACACGAGAUGUACAAAACUUACGGUGACCUUGGUGAUGUUGCCCAAGAAUGCCGUCAGAAUCAAACACUACUUGCUCCUCCUCGUCCACUCUCAGUUCGGGAUGUAUAUUCUACACUACGAAAGCUAAGUGCAAUAUCAGGUGGUGGGAGUGCUGGGAGGAGAAAAAUUCUUGUGUUGCAUCUUAUUCGGUCUUGCAGAGAAAUGGAAAUGAAAUUUCUUGUUAGAACGCCGGUCCGUAACUUGCGUAUUGGCGCUAUGAUGAAGACAAUCUUACCCGCUCUUGCACAUGCCGUUGUUCUUCAUGAAAAAUGUUCAACAGGUCCUGUGGUAUCCUUGGAGGAUGUAAAAUCACAAUUGCAGAGCCUUUCAACUGAAAUUACUGAGGCAUACAAUGUCAUUCCUAAUAUGGAUUUGCUCGUUCCCUCUCUUCUUUGUGAAGGCGCUACAUUUGCAGCUUCGUCCUUAGCAAUGGUACCUGGCACACCUAUACCACCUAUGCUUGCAAGAAUUACUAAUGGGGUCACUCAAGCACUGAAGUUGUUUCAUGGUAGAGCAUUUACUUGCGAGUACAAGUAUGAUGGUCAGCGCGCCCAGAUUCACAGAUUAACUGAUGGAUCUGUGCAAAUAUUUUCAAGGCAAAUGAAAGAUUCGACUUCCCAAUUUCCCGAUUUAGUUAACAUGAUCAAAGAGCUUUGCAACUCAGAGGUGGCCAGCUUUAUACUGGAUGCUGAAGUUGUGGGAAUCGAUAGGAAUAAAGGAAACAGGCUGAUGUCAUUCCAAGAAUUAUCUUCAAGAGAAAGAGGGAGCAAGAACUCCUCAAUUGCAAUUCAGAACAUAAAGGUUGACAUCUGUGUGUUUGUUUUUGAUAUUAUGUUCUGCAACGGACAAAGGCUAUUGGAUAACCCACUUCGUCAAAGGAGAAGCUACAUCCAUGACCUUUUCCAGGAGAAGCCAGGAUACUUGGAGCUAGCUCAGCAGUUAAUUGUUGAAGAAGAUGAAGCAUCGAUAGAUAAUUCUAGCACUUUACACAGAAUGAGCAGCUUUUUUGAAAAAGCAUGCCAGUCUUCUUGUGAGGGUAUAAUGUUGAAGACUCUUGAUAUUGAUGCUGGAUACUCUGCUUCCAAGCGCUGUGAUUCAUGGUUAAAGGUGAAGCGUGACUAUGUGGAAGGCCUAGGUGAUAGCCUUGACUUAGUUCCAAUCGGUGCAUGGUAUGGAAAUGGACGGAAAGCUGGAUGGUACAGCCCUUUUCUGAUGGCAUGCUACAACCCUGAAUCUGAAGAAUUUCAAAGUGUCUGUCGUGUUAUGUCUGGUUUCUCAGAUGAUUUCUAUAAGGAGAUGAAGGAGUUUUAUUCUGGUGAAAAGAUACUGCCCAAGAAACCCGUGUACUACAAAACAGAUGAGCAGCCGGAGUUGUGGUUCACUGCUGAACAAGUUUGGGAGAUCCGAGGUGCAGAUCUCACACUAUCCCCUGUCCAUCACGCGGCCAUCGGUGUCGUGCAUCCAUCGCGUGGGAUCUCAGUGAGGAUGCCGAGGCACAUACGGUGCGUUCCGGAUAGGAGCCCAGAGGAUUGCAGCACGGCCACCGACGUUGCUAGCAUGUUCAGAGCCCAAACCAGGAAGAUGGAGGUCAGCAGCGAUGGCCCGGGUGCAGGUCACCAGUGA